GGUUCUAUGGCGCAAUCGGUUAGCGCGUCCGGCUGUUAACCGGGAGGUUGGAAGUUCGAGUCUUCCUAGUACCG
Molecule: non-coding RNA, 74 nt
Organism: Kalaharituber pfeilii
Lineage: Eukaryota; Fungi; Ascomycota; Pezizomycetes; Pezizales; Pezizaceae
Source: the annotation of a GenBank genome assembly